RNAcentral lists this long non-coding RNA (265 nucleotides) under Capra hircus (goat). RNAcentral's name for it is "lncRNA (ENSCHIG00000001454.1)". Lineage: Eukaryota; Metazoa; Chordata; Mammalia; Artiodactyla; Bovidae. The record is from RNAcentral.
AUCUUUUACCAAAAAAAUUACUUAUCUGAAAUUAACAUCUUACAGGACAUGCUGUGUUUUAUCUGGAAACCUAACCAUGGAAGAGAAUGAAGCUUGCAUGGAGACAGAGUUCUCCUUUGAGGGGAGUAGCGAACUGUGGGAAGUCUUUGGAAGAAGUAGAACAUUGAUGGGAAUUCAGAGGCGAAGCUUCCCAUGAGCCCCUGGGAAGCCGGAAGCAGGCACAGUGCUCAGCCAACCAUGGGUGGUGAUUUCAGCUCAGAACAAC